Molecule: ribosomal RNA, 480 nt
Filed under: uncultured bacterium
Lineage: Bacteria
Description: partial 16S ribosomal RNA
Rfam family: Bacterial small subunit ribosomal RNA
Source: RNAcentral
AAUGAACGUUGGCGGCGUGGAUUAGGCAUGCAAGUCGUGCGAUAACCCCGCAAGGGGGGAAAGCGGCGAAAGGGAGAGUAACGCGUGGGUACCUGCCCCUUGGUCCGGAAUAGCUGCGGGAAACUGCAGGUGAUGCCGGAUAAUAUCCUCGGAUCAAAGGUGUGAUUCCGCCGAGGGAGGGGCCCGCGUUCUAUUAGCUAGUUGGUAGGGUAAUGGCCUACCAAGGCGACGAUGGAUACCGGGUGUGAGAGCAUGACCCGGCUCACUGGGACUGAGACACUGCCCAGACGCCUACGGGUGGCUGCAGUCGAGAAUCGUCGGCAAUGGGCGCAAGCCUGACCGAGCGACGCCGCGUGCGGGAUGAAGGCCUUCGGGUUGUAAACCGCUGUCGUAGAGGAGGAAAUGCCAUGGGGUUCUCUCCAUGGUUUGACCUAUUCUAGGAGGAAGGACGGGCUAAGUUCGUGCCAGCCGCCGCGGUAA